Molecule: long non-coding RNA, 1351 nt
Filed under: Helianthus annuus (common sunflower)
Lineage: Eukaryota; Viridiplantae; Streptophyta; Magnoliopsida; Asterales; Asteraceae
Description: hypothetical non coding rna
Source: RNAcentral
ACAGUCAGUGGGUAUCCCAUGGGAGGGGAUGAGUCUUUGGGUAAAAACGGGUAUAUUGGUUAAUGAUCUCACCUAUCAUCUUUUGUAAGUCCCUCAUCGGGUAUUAGUUAGUAGCGCUACUUAGGUUUGGCACCCUCACCCCGUGCCUGUAGAGGACGGAGGUGAACUAAUGACCCAGUCUGGCCCAGUACUACAUAGGAGUACGUGGGAAGGGCAGUCCGUGAGCCGUCCGUGUUUGGAAAUGAGAUAUUAACAAUAUUACUUGCAUUGGGUAUUAAACUGUUUUACAUGCACCGGGUAACAAACGUUUUCUAAAACUGUGAACUCGCCAGCUUUGUCUGAUACGUGUGUUACAUGCUCGCAGGUCAUUAGGUGCGUUGAAAGCAGGAACUUGCUGGCUGGAGGGCGCGAGUGGUCAUGGUUGCUUGAUGGAUUUAUUAUUAGACAUUUAUUUACUAUGAUUGAUUGGAUAACAUUCAUAUUACGAUACAUUAACGCUUCCGCUAAACUUAUGGUUUUUGAAUAACUUAUGUUGGGAUUUCAGUAUCUUUAAAUAAUGAAGUUUUAUCUCAAACUUGUGUUUCAAUGUAAUUGGUGGCUCAUUGCUAGUCGUCACACGCCUAGCAGGGACACUCCCUAGGUGGUAAUUUUGGGGGUGUGACAGGUAUAGUCACUACGGACUAUAACCAUCGUGAUCACGCUCACGUUAUGAAGUGACGAGUCGUAGUUUCGGCCAAAAUGUGCAUUCUUGCAUAUUUUGUAACCAAACUACUCGUGAGCAUCAAAGCCGUUUGUUUUGAUGUCAAACCUGUUUUCAAACUUAGUUAAGCAUGUUCUAACAUGCUUAGCUCGUCACUUUUAGUUUAGUGCUUAUAUAGGGUCGUAAGGUAACCGAUCUAAACCAUCGCUUAUGCUUUCGAACCCGACCCAUUUUGUCGGUCAUUAGGACCUGACCAAACACAUUAGGUGACCAUAGCUAUAACCUUCCGAAGUUAUACCUUGUGGUCACGAUGUUAGGCGUUCCAGACGCGUUCUACGCGAACGACGCGUAAGGUGGCAUAAGCUACCUAAACGGGUCGUGAUGGACCGUAAGCACUUAGGUUAAGUUUCAUUUUAGUAUGUAGGCUUUGUUAAACCAUAUUACACGAGUCUCCAUACUCGUUUGGUUUUCGAACCCGCGUACUGUCCGAUCCUUCCGAUUUGGUCCGGUAUAUUAACAUAGCUACCUAUUAGGUGCCGUUUGAUAUCCCGUGAUCUUUAGCAUUAUCUGGUUAUUAUACAAGGAACUCAAAGCAAUCUCAGGUGAGUACAUUGAACCCCUUUUUUACUGUUUUCUAAACUGUUUUGGGGU